RNAcentral lists this ribosomal RNA (581 nucleotides) under uncultured bacterium. RNAcentral describes it as "bacterial SSU rRNA". It matches the Rfam family "Bacterial small subunit ribosomal RNA", at positions 102 to 669 of the family's 1533-position model. The record is from RNAcentral.
ACGGGUGAGUAACACGUGGGCAACCUGCCCUUGAGACUGGGAUAACUUCGGGAAACCGGAGCUAAUACCGGAUAAUACAAGGAACCUCCUGGUUCCUUGUUGAAAGAUGGUUUCGGCUAUCACUUAAGGAUGGGCCCGCGGCGCAUUAGCUAGUUGGUGAGGUAACGGCUCACCAAGGCGACGAUGCGUAGCCGACCUGAGAGGGUGAUCGGCCACACUGGGACUGAGACACGGCCCAGACUCCUACGGGAGGCAGCAGUAGGGAAUCUUCCACAAUGGACGAAAGUCUGAUGGAGCAACGCCGCGUGAGUGAUGAAGGCCUUCGGGUCGUAAAGCUCUGUUGUUAGGGAAGAACAAGUGCGAGAGUAACUGCUCGCACCUUGACGGUACCUAACCAGAAAGCCACGGCUAACUACGUGCCAGCAGCCGCGGUAAUACGUAGGUGGCAAGCGUUAUCCGGAAUUAUUGGGUGUAAAGCGCGCGCAGGUGGUUUCUUAAGUCUGAUGUGAAAGCCCACGGCUCAACCGUGGAGGGUCAUUGGAAACUGGGGAACUUGAGUGCAGAAGAGGAAAGUGGAAUUC